This 499-nucleotide ribosomal RNA is filed under the name uncultured bacterium. Its description in RNAcentral is "partial 16S ribosomal RNA". It matches the Rfam family "Bacterial small subunit ribosomal RNA", at positions 355 to 863 of the family's 1533-position model. The record is from RNAcentral.
UGGGGAAUAUUGCACAAUGGGCGCAAGCCUGAUGCAGCAACGCCGCGUGAGGGACGACGGCCUUCGGGUUGUAAACCUCUUUUAGUAGGGAAGAGGCGAAAGUGACGGUACCUGCAGAAAAAGCACCGGCUAACUACGUGCCAGCAGCCGCGGUAAUACGUAGGGUGCGAGCGUUGUCCGGAAUUAUUGGGCGUAAAGAGCUCGUAGGCGGUCUGUCGCGUCUGCUGUGAAAACCCCGAGGCUCAACCUCGGGCCUGCAGUGGGUACGGGCAGACUAGAGUGCGGUAGGGGAGAAUGGAAUUCCUGGUGUAGCGGUGGAAUGCGCAGAUAUCAGGAGGAACACCGAUGGCGAAGGCAGUUCUCUGGGCCGUAACUGACGCUGAGGAGCGAAAGCGUGGGGAGCGAACAGGAUUAGAUACCCUGGUAGUCCACGCCGUAAACGUUGGGCGCUAGAUGUGGGGACCAUUCCACGGUUUCCGUGUCGCAGCUAACGCAUUAA